CUACGGGCGGCUCCAGUGAGGAAUAUUGGUCAAUGGGCGCGAGCCUGAACCAGCCAUCCCGCGUGCAGGAUGACGGCCCUAUGGGUUGUAAACUGCUUUUCUAUGCCAAGAAACCUGAUUACGUGUAAUCAGUUGCCGGUAGCAUAGGAAUAAGCAUCGGCUAACUCCGUGCCAGCAGCCGCGGUAAUACGGAGGAUGCAAGCGUUAUCCGGAUUCAUUGGGUUUAAAGGGUGCGCAGGUGGGCCUGUAAGUCAGUGGUGAAAUGCUGCCGCUUAACGGUAGAACUGCCAUUGAUACUGCGAGUCUUGAGUAUGGUUGAGGUAGGCGGAAUGUGUUGUGUAGCGGUGAAAUGCAUAGAUAUGACACAGAACGCCAAUUGCGAAGGCAGCUUACUAAGCCAUUACUGACGCUGAGGCACGAAAGCGUGGGGAGCGAACAGGAUUAGAUACCCCUGUAGUC
This 459-nucleotide ribosomal RNA is filed under the name uncultured bacterium. RNAcentral's name for it is "partial 16S ribosomal RNA". It matches the Rfam family "Bacterial small subunit ribosomal RNA", at positions 339 to 795 of the family's 1533-position model. The record is from RNAcentral.